UUACGGCCAUAUCACGUUGAAACACCGGUUCCCGUACGAUCACUGGAGUUACGCAACCCCAAGCCUGGUCAGUGCUUAGUGACCGCUUGGGAAUACAAGUGCUGUAAG
Molecule: non-coding RNA, 108 nt
Organism: Acanthosepion pharaonis
Lineage: Eukaryota; Metazoa; Mollusca; Cephalopoda; Sepiida; Sepiidae
Source: the annotation of a GenBank genome assembly